Molecule: ribosomal RNA, 492 nt
Filed under: uncultured bacterium
Lineage: Bacteria
Description: partial 16S ribosomal RNA
Rfam family: Bacterial small subunit ribosomal RNA
Source: RNAcentral
AGUGAACGCUGGCGGUAGGCCUAACACAUGCAAGUCGAACGGCAGCACAGUAAGAGCUUGCUCUUACGGGUGGCGAGUGGCGGACGGGUGAGGAAUACAUCGGAAUCUACUUUUUCGUGGGGGAUAACGUAGGGAAACUUACGCUAAUACCGCAUACGACCUACGGGUGAAAGCAGGGGAUCUUCGGACCUUGCGCGAUUGAAUUAGCCGAUGUCGGAUUAGCUAGUUGGCGGGGUAAAGGCCCACCAAGGCGACGAUCCGUAGCUGGUCUGAGAGGAUGAUCAGCAACACUGGAACUGAGACACGGUCCAGACUCCUACGAGAGGCAGCAGUGGGGAAUAUUGGACAAUGGGCGCAAGCCUGAUCCAGCCAUACAGCGUGGGUGAAGAAGGCCUUCGGGUUGUAAAGCCCUUUUGUUGGGAAAGAAAAGCAGAAGGUUCAUACCCAGCUGUUCUGACGGUACCCAACGAAUAAGCACAGGCUAACUUCGUG